Molecule: ribosomal RNA, 763 nt
Filed under: Alteromonas sp.
Lineage: Bacteria; Pseudomonadati; Pseudomonadota; Gammaproteobacteria; Alteromonadales; Alteromonadaceae
Description: bacterial SSU rRNA
Rfam family: Bacterial small subunit ribosomal RNA
Source: RNAcentral
AGGGUUUUGGAUUGGCUCAGAUUGAACGCUGGCGGCAGGCCUAACACAUGCAAGUCGAACGGUAACAUUUCUAGCUUGCUAGAAGAUGACGAGUGGCGGACGGGUGAGUAAUGCUUGGGAACUUGCCUUUGCGAGGGGGAUAACAGUUGGAAACGACUGCUAAUACCGCAUAAUGUCUUCGGACCAAACGGGGCUUUUAGCUCCGGCGCAAAGAGAGGCCCAAGUGAGAUUAGCUAGUUGGUAAGGUAACGGCUUACCAAGGCGACGAUCUCUAGCUGUUCUGAGAGGAAGAUCAGCCACACUGGGACUGAGACACGGCCCAGACUCCUACGGGAGGCAGCAGUGGGGAAUAUUGCACAAUGGGGGAAACCCUGAUGCAGCCAUGCCGCGUGUGUGAAGAAGGCCUUCGGGUUGUAAAGCACUUUCAGUUGUGAGGAAAAGUUAGUAGUUAAUACCUGCUAGCCGUGACGUUAACAACAGAAGAAGCACCGGCUAACUCCGUGCCAGCAGCCGCGGUAAUACGGAGGGUGCGAGCGUUAAUCGGAAUUACUGGGCGUAAAGCGCACGCAGGCGGUUUGUUAAGCUAGAUGUGAAAGCCCCGGGCUCAACCUGGGAUGGUCAUUUAGAACUGGCAGACUAGAGUCUUGGAGAGGGGAGUGGAAUUCCAGGUGUAGCGGUGAAAUGCGUAGAUAUCUGGAGGAACAUCAGUGGCGAAGGCGACUCCCUGGCCAAAGACUGACGCUCAUAGCGAAAGCGUAAUGCC